GACGAACGCUGGCGGCGUGCUUAACACAUGCAAGUCGAACGGAAAGGCCCUGCUUUUGUGGGGUGCUCGAGUGGCGAACGGGUGAGUAACACGUGAGUAACCUGCCCUUGACUUUGGGAUCACUUCAGUAAACUGGGGCUACUACCGGAUAGGCGCUCCUGCUGCAUGGUGGGGGUUGGAAAGUUUCGGCGGUUGGGGAUGGACUCGCGGCUUAUCAGCUUGUUGGUGGGGUAGUGGCUUACCAAGGCUUUGACGGGUAGCCGGCCUGAGAGGGUGACCGGCCACAUUGGGACUGAGAUACGGCCCAGACUCCUACGGGAGGCAGGAGUGGGGAAUAGUGCACAAUGGGCGGAAGCCUGAGGCAGCAACGCCGCGUGCGGGAUGACGGCCUUCGGGUUGUAAACCGCUUGCGCCUGGGACGAAGCGUGAGUGACGGUAAUGGGUAAAGAAGCACCGGCUAACUACGUG
RNAcentral lists this ribosomal RNA (468 nucleotides) under uncultured bacterium. RNAcentral describes it as "partial 16S ribosomal RNA". It matches the Rfam family "Bacterial small subunit ribosomal RNA", at positions 28 to 507 of the family's 1533-position model. The record is from RNAcentral.